Molecule: transfer RNA, 72 nt
Filed under: Camelus bactrianus (Bactrian camel)
Lineage: Eukaryota; Metazoa; Chordata; Mammalia; Artiodactyla; Camelidae
Also listed under: 2 other names
Rfam family: tRNA
About the family: Transfer RNA (tRNA) molecules are approximately 80 nucleotides in length. Their secondary structure includes four short double-helical elements and three loops (D, anti-codon, and T loops). Further hydrogen bonds mediate the characteristic L-shaped molecular structure. tRNAs have two regions of fundamental functional importance: the anti-codon, which is responsible for specific mRNA codon recognition, and the 3' end, to which the tRNAs corresponding amino acid is attached (by aminoacyl-tRNA synthetases). tRNAs cope with the degeneracy of the genetic code in two manners: having more than one tRNA (with a specific anti-codon) for a particular amino acid; and 'wobble' base-pairing, i.e. permitting non-standard base-pairing at the 3rd anti-codon position.
Source: Rfam by way of RNAcentral
GAGGGCAUAGCUUAGUGGUAAAGCGUGUGUUUAGCAAGCAUGAGGUCCUGGGUUCAACACCCAGUACCUCCA